This 515-nucleotide ribosomal RNA is filed under the name uncultured Flavobacteriaceae bacterium. Its description in RNAcentral is "bacterial SSU rRNA". It matches the Rfam family "Bacterial small subunit ribosomal RNA", at positions 523 to 1042 of the family's 1533-position model. Lineage: Bacteria; Pseudomonadati; Bacteroidota; Flavobacteriia; Flavobacteriales; Flavobacteriaceae. The record is from RNAcentral.
AUACGGAGGAUCCAAGCGUUAUCCGGAAUCAUUGGGUUUAAAGGGUCCGCAGGCGGCCUGUUAAGUCAGAGGUGAAAUCCUACAGCUCAACUGUAGAACUGCCUUUGAUACUGAUAGGCUUGAGUUAUUGUGAAGUGGUUAGAAUGUGUGGUGUAGCGGUGAAAUGCUUAGAUAUCACACAGAAUACCCAUUGCGAAGGCAGAUCACUAACAAUAUACUGACGCUCAUGGACGAAAGCGUGGGGAGCGAACGGGAUUAGAUACCCCGGUAGUCCACGCCGUAAACGAUGGAUACUAACUGUUCGACCUUCGGGUUGAGUGGUCAAGCGAAAGUGAUAAGUAUCCCACCUGGGGAGUACGCUCGCAAGAGUGAAACUCAAAGGAAUUGGACGGGGGCCCGCACAAGCGGUGGAGCAUGUGGUUUAAUUCGAUGAUACGCGAGGAACCUUACCAGGGCUUAAAUGUAGUGGGACAGGUCUAGAGAUAGACCCUUCUUCGGACUCAUUACAAGGUGCU